GGCUGCCUAGAGCCACAUCCAGCCUAGCCAUGAAUACCUCCAGGGAUGGAGCAUCCACAGCCUAAUUAUUCAAACUGUUUCGGUGCGUCAACAACCUCUGGCUGAAAAACUUCACAAUAAUAUCUAACCUAAACCUCUCCAGUCUCAGUUUAGAAAUAUUCCCCUAUGUACUAUCACUAUACACCCUCGUAAAUAGAUGUUCCUCUUCCAGUUUAUAUGCUCCCUUCAAGAGCUGGAAGGCCACUAUGAGGUUUCCUGAGAGCCUAUUCUUCCCCAGGAUAAACAAAUCCAGUUCCAUAAACCUUUCCUUGUAUGAGAGGAACUCCAGCCCUCUGAUCAACUUAGUGGCCCUCCUAAGGAACAAUUCCAAGAGAUCCACGACCUACCUGUACUGGGGGCCCCAGGCCUGUUGGCAGUACUGCAGAUGGGGCCUCACAAGAGAAGAGGGGGGAAAACAAAUCCCUUUUCCAGCUGGCCGCCAUUGUUUUAAUCCAGCACAAAACACAGUUGGCCUUCAGGACUGCAAGCGCAUACAGCUGAAAAAUUUACAGCUCCGUCUCGCGUGCUGCAUAUGGCAAAGCAGGCAAAACACUGGCAGUUCCCUGUGUCACAAUCGCACUGGCAACAUGGCCAGCAGUGGGAGAUCAUGGAAAAAGCAGCACCCCUCUGCUAGGCCGUGGCAGAAGAGAGCAGGAUGGUGAGCAGAUGCACAGGUGAGAGGGCAGGACAAAGGAGACAGAAGGGAAGGGCAGGGCCUGAGCAAGAAGGUAGGAAUGGCUUCUCCUUCUCCAGGGACAUUGAUACUAAGAUAAGUAAUUGAGCUAACAGAAGCAUGGCAGUAAUUUUGGCAUCAGCCUCUGGCAACUGCCUUGGUGAUGUCCAGGACAUGUCACGGCAGGCAUAACAUUGGCAGUUCCCUGUGUCACACAGGCUUUGGCAUUCCAGUGGACGUAGGGCAAUAAUAAGAACAGCUCCACUGGUCAGCCAGCCCAAGCCAGAGGAGAGAAGAGGCCCAGAGGGGGCUAUGACCAGAGCAUGGUAGCCUCCUGUCCUCUGCUGCUCACCUGGAGAGAUGUUCCACCUUGCACAGGGGCAUCUAUUCAAGUCCACACUGGCAAAUCUGCAUGUAAUUGUGUCCUUGUUAACCUACAAGAAAGUACUCCUUCACUCUUUCAGCUAGCAAAUGCUUCAUGUUGUUACUGCAAACUCUGCAUGUCCAGUGUAAUUCACUGACAGCCUCGCCCUCUUCACACAAGGUGAGAAAAUUGUACAUGAAAAGGUGAAAAACAAGUCAAGAAAGAAAUGCAGAAACAGUUUGAAGAUGGCCUUGGAGGGCAGUCAUCGCUCCCCAGGUCUCGUGUAGCAGAAAGAUUUUACUAUACCUCUAACAAAUCAGCAUGGUUGUGUUGUAGCUGUGUCAAGCAGAGUCAGGGUCCAGAUCUCAUGACUCUGUGAUGCUGCAUAGGUUUCACACUGGUCACUAAGGCUAUGGUUCUCUCCAUGGUUCUGCUUUGGACUACUUUGACUGGUGCCAUCUAAGAUGGAUUUGUUCAGCAGAUUUGAUGUGAGCCCAUCUGUACAAUCUGGCUUUGAUCAAUCACUGCUCUCUUGCAUUUAGCAACAUUGGCAUUCCAAGUGGAGGUCCUUCUAAGUCCAAGAUGAAUAGCAUGAACAGUGACUAUCAAGGAUAAUUUGUUUUUUCCUGUACUGAUUUAAAUGGAUGAUAGGACUUAGUUACUCCGUGUAGUCCAGAGAAAAAGACUAAAAGGAAGAUUCUCAAACACAAAUGUCAGCUGCUAACUUAACCCUUGAAGUGCCUAAAACAUCCGUAUGUAUCUCAGACUACCUUCUAAGCAUUCUCUGCAAAUGAUCACUCCUUGACUUGUUAUGAUGCUGAGCAUAUCAGAACUUAUCUUAGACCAGAACACUGUACAAAUGCCUGGUUAGGCCUUUCUCUGCACUGUUAAUCUUCAGCAUUACCACUCACUGCAUGACUGUCAGACAAGAUGCUGCACACACAAGAGCAAAUCAUAUCUUUUUUUUAGCAUUUUUAAUAUUUUUAGUCAAGAAUCACUGCAUUCACCCACAAUGAGUCAGGCUUAGGUUCAAGUACAUCAUGUAUCUGAGUAUUCAGCUGUGGAAUAUAUUGGAGAAAGAUUUUCUCAUUAUUUCAGUGAGAAUCUUCUAAAAUACAAAAUACUUACUGAACUAAGUCACUGAAGAUCCUUGUAUAGGAAUGUUACCUAGACACACUAUUUAACAUACAGGUAUCGGUGUGAUGAAAAGAAUGUUAUUUGUGAUGCAGAAAAUGCAGCAGCAAUCCACAAGAUGAUCAUUAGCAGGAUAAACUUGGCAUUGGUACCUCAGGGGCCUUCUUGACCCAUCACUGUGGCAUUGCAAUAAAUACAAUGUAGAAACAAGCUCUGCAGGCAGACUUUGACUUAUAACCUCCAUACAUGUCCUAAGGAUCUGUGAUGCCUUAUUUCCUUGAGUUCACCCUGCAAACAAUUGCUAUUGACUUUGUGUGCAGAUAAAAUGAUUCUUCAGUUCUUAUCAUCAUUUGAUUUAUUUUAACAGUAUCCACUAUCUGCUGGGGACACUUAAAAUGAUACUGAGAAACUGGAAAUGGAAACUGGGUGACAUGAAAGCAUGCAUCUUUUCCAUCUAAGUGUUAAAAUCUCACAAGACUAUGGAAAAUAUGGUUGCUCUACUCCUUUCCAUGUCCACUGAAAGAGUAAUCCGACUAUAUCCAGCACAGCAGGAGGAAUGGAUGGACAAAUCUAUACGACAUUAAGACAGUUCACUAUACUCAAUCUUAGCAGUGACACUGCUAUUCUACAGGCACUAAAAUGAGAGCUGCCUCUUUAAUUCAUUCCUACCUUGCUCUGGAUCUCCUCUGUGGGAAAGUUUUGCUGUACAUCAAAGUCUCUGUUACAAGUUAGGUUCUGUGAGGUUUCUCUGACACUUGAUCUUCCCUGGAUUUUUUGUUAAGUUUUGAGAUAUGCAUUGUCUUUGUGAGUGUACACAUACAGUGUUUAGCAGAACGGGGCUGAGUGCUACCAUAAUACAUCUCAUUAACAAUAGCAACUGCCUAUGGCUUCUGUUGUGUAGAAUAAUGAUCCUUUCUUCGUAAGUAGUAACUGCCCAAAAGGCAAAACUUCAAACUCUACUGGUCUUCCACCUGAGAAAUUUUACAAUAUGAAAGUAAUGUAGUAAUUCACUUACAUGAAAAUAAAUCUUUGCUUUCAAAGGCUGUUUUCAUUAUAGCUUUAAUUUUAAAGUCUCUUAAAUUUAUGCCAUUUAAAUCUGAACAUUUUAGAAGGAAGAAUUAUGUCCAAAUUUUUAAAACCCACUUUGUCUAUCUAUUUGACUUAAGAAUCCAAUUUGUUACCUGACUUCAUUGUUAGUAUGCUGAUUACUUUGACAAUAUCUUUGAAUGAUGCUUGGAGGAUUUGGCUUUAUUCAAAAGCAGAUGUGUGUUUGCCUUAAUGCUUUAUAUUUCUUUGGGGAGUUUUUAACCAGAGCAUAAUUUCUGUUCUGUUUGAAAUCACAUUUGUUAAUUU
This is a non-coding RNA of Meleagris gallopavo (turkey), 3563 nucleotides long. Lineage: Eukaryota; Metazoa; Chordata; Aves; Galliformes; Phasianidae. The record is from RefSeq and is a predicted model, not a curated record.